Molecule: non-coding RNA, 85 nt
Filed under: unclassified sequences
Source: RNAcentral
AAUAUAAUUCCACCGGGAAUAACGCUCAAGCGUUUUAAGCAUUUCAUUAGGUCUAAGAAGAAAUGCUUAACUCACUUGAUUUUUU